GACGAACGCUGGCGGCGUGCCUAAUACAUGCAAGUGGGACGCAAGGAAACACACUGUGCUUGCACACCGUGUUUUCUUGAGUCGCGAACGGGUGAGUAACGCGUAGGUAACCUGCCUAUUAGCGGGGGAUAACUAUUGGAAACGAUAGCUAAUACCGCAUAAUAUUAAUUAUUGCAUGAUAAUUGAUUGAAAGAUGCAAGCGCAUCACUAGUAGAUGGACCUGCGUUGUAUUAGCUAGUUGGUAAGGUAAGAGCUUACCAAGGGAACGAAACAUAGCCGACCUGAGAGGGUGACCGCCCACAUGGGCACUGGAACACGGCCAAAAUUCUACGGGAGGCAGCAGUAGGGGAUCCUCCGCCAUUGACGAAAGUCUGACCGAGCCAACCCGCCGGGGUGAAGAAGGGUUUCGGAUCGUAAAGCUCCGUUUUAAGUCAAGAACGUGUGUGAGAGUGGAAAGUUCACACAGUGACGGUAGCUUACCAGAAAGGGACGGCUAACUACGUG
This 504-nucleotide ribosomal RNA is filed under the name uncultured bacterium. RNAcentral describes it as "partial 16S ribosomal RNA". It matches the Rfam family "Bacterial small subunit ribosomal RNA", at positions 28 to 507 of the family's 1533-position model. The record is from RNAcentral.